UUAGGCGACCCCUGUGAAAGGGUCGUUUGACCACCAAAGGGGUCGCAACCCACAGGUUGAGAACCGCUGGCAUACAUGUUUUAAAGCCACCACAGUAACCAUUAUUUUUAGGUUAACUUACAUUAUUGCCUUUGAAAUUGGCCUUUUAACUAACAGUGUUCUAAACGUUUUUAAAAAGGGCUAGAUUUUACUGUUAUAUUGUGUUUUGAAAGAUUCUUGUGUCUUUAUUAUGAUGGUUUGUUUUAUUCUGUAACUCCCCACGGUUUUCUUGACAGUUGAUUUAACGAUUGGCUCUCAUUCAAUGCUGUGUAAUUUUAGUUUACAUUUCAUGUCAUUUUACCAUCAAGAAAGGUAUCUUCCUUUGGUGUAAUACUUUAUAUAAUGGUUGGUUACGUGCUAAUACUUAAUAUUUUAUGUGGUUUUCUCAGAUAAAACCAACCUGUAAUCACAUAAGUAACUCAGAACUGCUUGGUUAGUUUUUUAAGUGAGCCAUUCUAAGAAUUUCCAAAACCUUUGCCUAACUUUCACUGUGAAAAUAUUACCUAAUUUUUGUCUUAAAGGACACGUUUCCUUUUUCUUUAUAACUAAUUAAGGAUCUUGUGGAAAUUCAUGUGGUUUCUAUCAUGGUCACUCGGCAUUUAUUAGAACUAUGACAUUUCAAUUGAAAGAUUGUUUUCUAAGGGAAACGUACAUUCAUUAUAUGUUUUCCCAUAUUUUCUUUUUCUUCCUUUUUAUAUACUACAACUCUUCUGAUUGCUUUUCCUCCCUGACACUACCUGAAGUAUUGUGGUUAACCACAUUUUGUAAAAGGUGGAAGAUUUCUACAUUCUGAAGAAUAAGUUUUUAGAAACUGAAAAAUUAGGAAACCAGCUGGAGGUGGAAGGCGUGGUCACUUGCAGACAAGUAAAUGUGGGCUGUACCAGAACAGAAACAGGGAGCUAAAAGGUAAUCUGAACCUCCCAGAAGCACCUUAGGAGGCAAGUGGACAGCAAAGAUCUUCAGAGUGAGUGGCGUAACUUCUGCAAAAACUGUUAGCAAUAAACCAUCUAAUCAAUGUCUUCUCUCUC
Long non-coding RNA from Myotis brandtii (Brandt's bat), 1067 nucleotides. RefSeq lists it as uncharacterized. The record is from RefSeq and is a predicted model, not a curated record. The transcript has 2 exons. NCBI's taxonomy places the organism in Eukaryota, Metazoa, Chordata, Mammalia, Chiroptera, Vespertilionidae.